AUUGAACGCUGGCGGCAUGCCUUACACAUGCAAGUCGAACGGUAACAGGUCUUCGGAUGCUGACGAGUGGCGAACGGGUGAGUAAUACAUCGGAACGUGCCUAGUAGUGGGGGAUAACUACUCGAAAGAGUGGCUAAUACCGCAUGAGAUCUACGGAUGAAAGCAGGGGAUGGCAAGACCUUGUGCUACUAGAGCGGCCGAUGGAAGAUUAGGUAGUUGGUGGGAUAAAAGCUUACCAAGCCGACGAUCUGUAGCUGGUCUGAGAGGACGAUCAGCCACACUGGGACUGAGACACAGCCCAGACUACUACGGGAGGCAGCAGUGGGGAAUUUUGGACAAUGGGCGAAAGCCUGAUCCAGCAAUGCCGCGUGCAGGAUGAAGGCCUUCGGGUUGUAAACUGCUUUUGUACGGAACGAAAAGCCCCGGGUUAAUACCCUGGGGUCAUGACGGUACCGUAAGAAUAAGCACCGGCUAACUACGUGCCAGCCGCCGCGGUAA
Molecule: ribosomal RNA, 498 nt
Filed under: uncultured bacterium
Lineage: Bacteria
Description: partial 16S ribosomal RNA
Rfam family: Bacterial small subunit ribosomal RNA
Source: RNAcentral